Molecule: long non-coding RNA, 1388 nt
Organism: Pan troglodytes (chimpanzee)
Lineage: Eukaryota; Metazoa; Chordata; Mammalia; Primates; Hominidae
Exons: 2
Source: RefSeq, a predicted model, not a curated record
GGAUUGACUCGGCUCGUUCCGUAAAGCGCCGGAGGAUUGGCGGGGGCGUCGGGAGAGAGGAGGCUCGAAACUACAUUUCCCAUGACGCAGUGAGAAUUUAAAACCAAAACAAUUGGACAGCACUUGUUUUGACAACUGUGCGGCACUGUGCCACGGGACCCUGGUCUUUGAAACCUUGGCGUGCGCGAGAAUUUCCCAGUGAGUUUGUUAAAAUGCAGAUUCCUCGGGUCUGCGUAGACAGACUGUGCCCCACGCUUUUCUAAGUCAGUUGUUUCUCGGGCUACCCUUUAAGAGACACUGCUGGAUGGCCUGGUGAAGAAAAUACAGAAACAGAUGGGUACAAGAACUAAGAAAACGGCUAAGAAAGUGUUUUGGUCCUGACUACUACCAUUUCGCUCUGUGAUUUGGGGCAAUUCACAUUGGCUUCCCUGCCCUUUCUUCUUUGUCAAAAGACAAAAUCACAACAAAUUUAGUUUAAAGAUUUUUUUUUCUUAAGAGACGGACUCUGGCAAUGUUGCCCAGGCUGGAAGGCAGUGGCUAUUCACAGGUGCGGUCAUAGCAAUCAUGGCUAUCACAGGUGCAUCCUGGAACUCCUGGCCUCAAGUGAUCCUUCUGCCUCAGCCUCCGGAGUAGCUGGGACUUAAGGUAUGACAGAGCCAAAACUCCAAGUCAUGUCAGUAGGGCAUGCCCAAUAGAAAAUGCUUUGACAUCUAACAACACCCAGAACCAAUGAUUCCUCCCUGUGGUACCAAGAAGACCUAGACAUGAUCGGAACCUAAAUGCUGGAACUCUUUCGGGAGCAAAGGGUCUGUUGACCAGAAAGAUCCAGGGCUAAAAUCCACCUCAACAUACCUGUGUAGUCAAAUUUGACACCCUCCAAUCAGACCCUGCCAAGCUGGGUCUUAUACGUUUCCUUGCCAUCUGUAUUAGUCUGUUUUCACGCUGCUGAUAAAGACAUACCUGAGACUGGACAAUUUACAAAAGAGGUUUAAUUGGACUUACAGUUCCACGUGGCUGGGGAAACCUCACAAUCAUGGCAGAAGGCAAGGAGGAGCAAGUCACAUCUUACAUGGAUGGCAGCAGGCAAAAACAAAGAGCUUGUACAGGGAAACUCCUGUUUCUCAAAACCAUCAGACCUCAUGAGACUUAUUCACUAUCACAAGAACAGCACAAGAAAGACCUGCCCCUAUGAUUCAAUUAUCUCCCACUGGGUCCCUCCCACAACAUGUGAGAAUUCAAGAUGAGAUUUGGGUGGGGACACAGCCAAACCAUAUCACCCUCUGACCCCUUAAAUCUUGCCCCAGACCCCAAAUUAGGAGACAGAUGUGAGCCAUGCCUCCAGUCUCCUUGCUGGGUGGCCCUGCAAUAAAGCCUUUCUGUUCUCAAAA